This 1212-nucleotide ribosomal RNA is filed under the name Chryseobacterium rhizosphaerae. RNAcentral's name for it is "bacterial SSU rRNA". It matches the Rfam family "Bacterial small subunit ribosomal RNA", at positions 236 to 1451 of the family's 1533-position model. Lineage: Bacteria; Pseudomonadati; Bacteroidota; Flavobacteriia; Flavobacteriales; Weeksellaceae. The record is from RNAcentral.
CAAGAUUAGAUAGUUGGUAGGGUAACGGCCUACCAAGUCUACGAUCUUUAGGGGGCCUGAGAGGGUGAUCCCCCACACUGGUACUGAGACACGGACCAGAUUCCUACGGGAGGCAGCAGUGAGGAAUAUUGGACAAUGGGUGCAAGCCUGAUCCAGCCAUCCCGCGUGAAGGACGACGGCCCUAUGGGUUGUAAACUUCUUUUGUAUAGGGAUAAACCUAGAUACGUGUAUCUAGCUGAAGGUACUAUACGAAUAAGCACCGGCUAACUCCGUGCCAGCAGCCGCGGUAAUACGGAGGGUGCAAGCGUUAUCCGGAUUUAUUGGGUUUAAAGGGUCCGUAGGCGGAUCUGUAAGUCAGUGGUGAAAUCUCACAGCUUAACUGUGAAACUGCCAUUGAUACUGCAGGUCUUGAGUGUUGUUGAAGUAGCUGGAAUAAGUAGUGUAGCGGUGAAAUGCAUAGAUAUUACUUAGAACACCAAUUGCGAAGGCAGGUUACUAAGCAACAACUGACGCUGAUGGACGAAAGCGUGGGGAGCGAACAGGAUUAGAUACCCUGGUAGUCCACGCCGUAAACGAUGCUAACUCGUUUUUGGAUUUUCGGAUUCAGAGACUAAGCGAAAGUGAUAAGUUAGCCACCUGGGGAGUACGUUCGCAAGAAUGAAACUCAAAGGAAUUGACGGGGGCCCGCACAAGCGGUGGAUUAUGUGGUUUAAUUCGAUGAUACGCGAGGAACCUUACCAAGGCUUAAAUGGGAAAUGACAGGUUUAGAAAUAGACUUUUCUUCGGACAUUUUUCAAGGUGCUGCAUGGUUGUCGUCAGCUCGUGCCGUGAGGUGUUAGGUUAAGUCCUGCAACGAGCGCAACCCCUGUCACUAGUUGCCAUCAUUAAGUUGGGGACUCUAGUGAGACUGCCUACGCAAGUAGAGAGGAAGGUGGGGAUGACGUCAAAUCAUCACGGCCCUUACGCCUUGGGCCACACACGUAAUACAAUGGCCAGUACAGAGGGCAGCUACACAGCGAUGUGAUGCAAAUCUCGAAAGCUGGUCUCAGUUCGGAUUGGAGUCUGCAACUCGACUCUAUGAAGCUGGAAUCGCUAGUAAUCGCGCAUCAGCCAUGGCGCGGUGAAUACGUUCCCGGGCCUUGUACACACCGCCCGUCAAGCCAUGGAAGUCUGGGGUACCUGAAGUCGGUGACCGUAACAGGAUGCUGCGCU